RNAcentral lists this ribosomal RNA (801 nucleotides) under uncultured bacterium. RNAcentral describes it as "bacterial SSU rRNA". It matches the Rfam family "Bacterial small subunit ribosomal RNA", at positions 55 to 904 of the family's 1533-position model. The record is from RNAcentral.
AUGCAGUCGACGAGACCUUCGGGUCUAGUGGCGCACGGGUGCGUAACGCGUGGGAAUCUGCCCCUUGGUUCGGAAUAACAGUUAGAAAUGACUGCUAAUACCGGAUGAUGACUUCGGUCCAAAGAUUUAUCGCCAAGGGAUGAGCCCGCGUAAGAUUAGGUAGUUGGUGGGGUAAAGGCCUACCAAGCCGACGAUCUUUAGCUGGUCUGAGAGGAUGAUCAGCCACACUGGGACUGAGACACGGCCCAGACUCCUACGGGAGGCAGCAGUGGGGAAUAUUGGACAAUGGGCGAAAGCCUGAUCCAGCAAUGCCGCGUGAGUGAUGAAGGCCUUAGGGUUGUAAAGCUCUUUUACCAGGGAUGAUAAUGACAGUACCUGGAGAAUAAGCUCCGGCUAACUCCGUGCCAGCAGCCGCGGUAAUACGGAGGGAGCUAGCGUUGUUCGGAAUUACUGGGCGUAAAGCGUGCGUAGGCGGUUAUUCAAGUCAGAGGUGAAAGCCCGGGGCUCAACCCCGGAACUGCCUUUGAAACUAGGUAGCUAGAAUCUUGGAGAGGUCAGUGGAAUUCCGAGUGUAGAGGUGAAAUUCGUAGAUAUUCGGAAGAACACCAGUGGCGAAGGCGACUGACUGGACAAGCAUUGACGCUGAGGCACGAAAGCGUGGGGAGCAAGCAGGAUUAGAUACCCUGGUAGUCCACGCCGUAAACGAUGAUAACUAGCUGUCCGGACACUUGGUGUUUGGGUGGCGCAGCUAACGCAUUAAGCAUCCCGCCUGGGGAGUACGGUCGCAAGAUUAAAACUCAA